UUCAGACCACUUAGGGGAACCUGUCUCAUAAUCGAUAAUCCACGAUACACCUAACCUCUUUUUGCUUCCCAGUUUGUAUACCGUCGUCGUCAGGUAACUUUUAAGAAAUCGGGGGUUAGCUAAAACGUUAAAUGUAAACUUAAACGUCAGGUCAAGGUGCAGCCAAUAAGGAGGUGAAGAUGGGUUACAAUUAUUUUACUUAUAAUACGGAAAAGCUUGUAUUGAACAAAUAGCUAAAAAGGAGGACUUAAAAGUAAAAUUAAUUAUACAAAUAU
RNAcentral lists this ribosomal RNA (275 nucleotides) under Turbinella pyrum. Its description in RNAcentral is "partial 12S ribosomal RNA". The record is from RNAcentral. Lineage: Eukaryota; Metazoa; Mollusca; Gastropoda; Neogastropoda; Turbinellidae.